UACGAAGGGGGCUAGCGUUGCUCGGAAUGACUGGGCGUAAAGGGCGCGUAGGCGGGUUGUACAGUCAGGUGUGAAAUUCCCGGGCUCAACCUGGGGGCUGCACUUGAUACGUAUGGACUGGAGUGGGGAAGAGGGUCGUGGAAUUCCCAGUGUAGAGGUGAAAUUCGUAGAUAUUGGGAAGAACACCAGUGGCGAAGGCGGCUAACUGGUCCAGAUCUGACGCUGAGGUGCGAAAGCGUGGGGAGCAAACAGG
RNAcentral lists this ribosomal RNA (253 nucleotides) under uncultured bacterium. RNAcentral's name for it is "partial 16S ribosomal RNA". It matches the Rfam family "Bacterial small subunit ribosomal RNA", at positions 524 to 776 of the family's 1533-position model. The record is from RNAcentral.